Molecule: long non-coding RNA, 593 nt
Organism: Cyprinus carpio carpio
Lineage: Eukaryota; Metazoa; Chordata; Actinopteri; Cypriniformes; Cyprinidae
Source: Ensembl
UUUAAUUAUUAAUUGAUAGAAAUAUAUUUCCUGCUGCUUUGAUCCCUUCAUAUAAUCAACAGUUUGCUUUUUAGUAUUGUCGUAACUACAGUGAAUGGAUGGUAUAUACAUAUAUUUCCUAUGAUUCUGCAUAUGCAUAUGCAUAUAAUACAUACUACUGUAUGAUAGAUAUAUUUUAGUUGCACUGGGAUCAUUUUGUACAAUCUGAAAAGCAACAAUUGUAAAAGACAGGAAAAAAAUGGCAAAGGCAACUCAAGGACAAAAUAGAGCCGAGAAUGGACCAUAACUUCUGUUAUUAUGAGUGUGUAAUCCAAAAUGCCUGUGGCGUCUCCUGGUAGGAGAUGUUUGUCAUUCAUUCAUCAGAGGAAGUUCAGUCAUCAUGAAACAAGAUCACAGGGACAGCAGUGACAGAACCCAGUGAUCUAACAGUGUUGUUGAGGGCUCCAAAUGCAAACUUUGCAUGCAACAAUCCUGCAGCAAUUGACAGUGCUCUGAUCCAAUGGCAUACAGGCUUUGUCAAAUUUGACUGUACUCUAGCCCAAUGAUGUUGAGGGAUCCAACAAUCCAGUAAAAGGGAUCCAGCAAAAGUGGGG